UUGAGAGCCGAACUGUGGAGGAA
Molecule: unclassified non-coding RNA, 23 nt
Filed under: Mus musculus (house mouse)
Lineage: Eukaryota; Metazoa; Chordata; Mammalia; Rodentia; Muridae
Description: oocyte_clustered_small_RNA12617
Source: RNAcentral